AGCGAACGCUGGCGGCAUGCUUAACACAUGCAAGUCGCACGGGCGGGGGCAACUCCGUCAGUGGCGGACGGGUGAGUAACGCGUAGGAAUCUAUCCUUGAAUGGGGGACAACCGUGGGAAACUACGGCUAAUACCGCAUGAUGCCUGAGGGCCAAAGACGAAAGUCGUUUGAGGAGGAGCCUGCGUCUGAUUAGGUAGUUGGUGGGGUAAAGGCCCUACCCAAGCCUGCGAUCAGUAGCGUGGUCGUGAGAGGAUGAUCGGCCACAUUGGGACUGAGACACGGCCCAAACUCCUACGGGAGGCAGCAGUGGGGAAUAUUGGACAAUGGGCGCAAGCCUAAUCCAGCAAUGCCGCGUGGGUGAAGAAGGUCUUCGGAUUGUAAAGCCCUUUUGGCGGGGACGAUGAUGACGGUACCCGCAGAAUAAGCUCCGGCUAACUUCGUG
This 443-nucleotide ribosomal RNA is filed under the name uncultured bacterium. RNAcentral's name for it is "bacterial SSU rRNA". It matches the Rfam family "Bacterial small subunit ribosomal RNA", at positions 29 to 507 of the family's 1533-position model. The record is from RNAcentral.